CAUAACAGCCAUAUCACCCUGCAGCCCAAGACUGGUUGCCCACUGAAGCUAAGCAGGGUUGAGCCUGGUCAGUACCUGGAUGGGAGACCUCCUGGGAAAACUAGGUUGCUGUUGGAA
Molecule: ribosomal RNA, 117 nt
Filed under: Sinocyclocheilus rhinocerous
Lineage: Eukaryota; Metazoa; Chordata; Actinopteri; Cypriniformes; Cyprinidae
Source: RNAcentral